CGUGUAAUAAAAAUAAUAUGAAGUCGAUGUUGUUACCUAAAAAAUAAAAGAAACAACAAAAAAAGAAGAGAAAUGUAUAUCUGUAUUGACAUGCAUAAUGCAUCAAGUAUCUCGUUAGGCUUUUUAUCUCUAAGGGGUAUUUAUUCCCCUAAUCCCAUUCGGGGUAUCUAUUUUUUCCGCCCCCAUCUGAUGUGGAAAGACGUAAGAGGACCGCUCUCUGU
RNAcentral lists this long non-coding RNA (221 nucleotides) under Carica papaya (papaya). Its description in RNAcentral is "long non-coding RNA (CPAP_LNC000366)". The record is from RNAcentral. Lineage: Eukaryota; Viridiplantae; Streptophyta; Magnoliopsida; Brassicales; Caricaceae.